UGUGUCGAAGGAGAUGCUUGGAGGGAUAUUCUACUCUACAAAUGUUGUUGUUGUGUGGAAUGAUCUUCGAGAAGAUAUGAUAAGGUCGAUGUAAGUCGUAUCUUUUAGCAUCAUAAGGAAAUUUCCACCAUCAACAAAGGUACGAGCUCUAUCUUAGUCUAAUUUGCUCGAUUGAGUGAACUGUGGGUGGAAUUUGAUAGCUUAACCCUAGUUUCUGGCUGUAAUUGUGCCAAUUCAAGGGAACUUGUCAUGUUUAUGCACAACCAAAAAUCAAUUGCAGUUUCUUAAGGGACUUAAUGAGUCCUAUGAACAAGCUAGGGGGCAAAUUCUGAUGAUGAUGCCAUUACUCUCACUCAAUAAAACCUAUUAUAUGCUGAUUGAAAGGGAAAGCUAACACACUAUUUCACAAUCAUCUGCUAGUUCGUCUGAGUUGAAUGCACUAUUCACUAAUCAAAAUCCAACACCACCAGUGCUUAGAUCAAGACCACCUCACACAUCUACCUAUGAUCCAAAUGCCUUUUGUGAUUACUGCAAACGCGCAUGUCAUACCCAAGCUAUAUGUUAUCAGCUUCAUGGAUAUCCUUCUGGGGGUUACCCGCGAUUGGUAAUGGCACAACCAGAAGAGGAGUAGGGGAGACAGGGUUAGGCGCUGGGAGAAAGGGCAAUACAAUCAAUUGCAGUUUCUUAAGGGACUUAAUGAGUCCUAUGAACAAGCUAGGGGGCAAAUUCUGAUGAUGAUGCCAUUACUCUCACUCAAUAAAACCUAUUAUAUGCUGAUUGAAAGGGAAAGCUAACACACUAUUUCACAAUCAUCUGCUAGUUCGUCUGAGUUGAAUGCACUAUUCACUAAUCAAAAUCCAACACCACCAGUGCUUAGAUCAAGACCACCUCACACAUCUACCUAUGAUCCAAAUGCCUUUUGUGAUUACUGCAAACGCGCAUGUCAUACCCAAGCUAUAUGUUAUCAGCUUCAUGGAUAUCCUUCUGGGGGUUACCCGCGAUUGGUAAUGGCACAACCAGAAGAGGAGUAGGGGAGACAGGGUUAGGCGCUAGAAGAAAGGGCAAUACUCUCCUAACACUGGAAGGGGAAGACCUCAUAAUGAAAUGAGACAAUAUCAAACAACCAACAAUGUGGUUAGUGAUUUUGGACACAACCAUAGGUCUGCAGGAGAUCUGGAUUACAACAAGAGUAUAAGUGCAGGGAAUCAUGGUGAAAGUCAAGGAUAUGACAGGGGCACUAGCCAGACUGAUCAAUCUGAUUACCACAAAGGUAUGAUUGUGCUACAUGAGCAAUAUAGUCAGAUUUUAACCAUGCUUGGUUAGACUAAUGUACAGGGAGGCACUGAAAGAGCAUCUACUUCUCAUUCAAGUGCCAAUUUAGCUCAGGAAUAUCCUUCAACAGGUAAUGCAAUUGCCCUCACAAGUCACUCUGCACAUAAUGGCUGGAUUAUAGACUCAGGUGCAACAAAUCACAUGACAACCUAUGUUGAUAUGCUUGUUCAUAAACAUCCACUUUCACUAAAUAAACCUAGGAUUGUACAAUUGCCCAAUAGUACUACUACUCUUAUCACACACACUGGUUCAAGUAGUUUGAAUCCACAAGAUACUAUCAAUAAUGUCCUCCUCAUUCCUGAUUUUUAGUUCAAUUUGCUAUCACUUUCAAAAAAUACUAAAGAACUACAAUGUGUUGCGUCUUUCUUUCCUGAUUUUGUUGUCAUUUAGGACCUCUUCAGUGGGCAAGUGAAGCUAAUUGGUAGAGAGAAUGUUGGGCUCUAUCAUCUCCCUACACAACUUCAUUAGUUCCAAAGACACACAAUGUCAGACACAUCUAGCAUAUGCUGAUACUUCAUCAGCAGACUCUCAAAUUCACUAGUAGCAGCAAAGACUAGGACACACAUCAUCCAGUGUUUUAGCAGAUGCCCUUGCUUUUCCUACUAAUACAUGUUCCCAAAAUGUCUACAACUGCACCAUUUGUCCUCUAGCUAAGCAACAUAGACUACCUUUUCCACAAAGCACUUCCUUAUCUUCUAUUCCAUUUCAGUUGUUACAUAUAGAUAUUUGGGGUCCCUUCAAUACCCCUACAUAUGAUUGUAACAGAUUGUUUGUUACUAUAGUUGAUGACUGUACUAGGAUGUUGCGAAUCUUUCUAAUAAAAGCCAAGAGUGAUGUUUGUGCUGUGUUGACAAAAUUCGUUACUUUAGUCAAGACUCAAUUUAAUUAUGUUGUUAAAUACAUUAGAAGUGAUAAUGGUUCUGAGUUUAUCAAUGUUGAGUGCCACUAUCUAUGUACUAGCUUAGGCAUUAGUCAUCAAAGGACAUGUAUUCAUACCCCCACAGCAAAAUGAUAUUGCUGAAAGAAAGCACAAGCAUAUACUUGAAGUGGCAAGAACAAUCUGUUCCAGGGUCAAAUUCCCAAUCAGGUUUCGGGAUCACUGUAUUCUCAGUGUUGUAUACAUUAUCAACAGGUUACCUACACCUGUUUUACAUGGCGAAUCACCUUAUGAGGUCUUUCACAAGAGGAGACCUUUUUUUCUGCAUAUGAGAGUCAUAUAUUGCCUUUGUUUUGCCAAAAACAUGUAAAUCAUUGAUAAAUUUCACCCUAGAAGUGUAGUUGUUAUUCAUAUGGGUUAUAGUGAUCUCACCCAGGGGUAUAUUUUGUAUAAUCUGAUGGACAUAAAAAAAAAUUUGAGCAGGGAUAUAAUAUUCAUAGAGUCUUUCUUUCCUUUUGAUGUUCCUAACUCCUCUACCUUGAAGCUCUUUCCUACCACACUCUUCCAUCAGACUUUGCUUCUAGUUAUGAUGCAGGUUUAGUUGCCAUAAGAGAGGCAGAUGAUUUCGCUAUAGUACAAACUGCACCUGUAGUUCCUGCUCAAAGUAAGUCUCAAAGAUCCAGCAAAACCCCACAAUGGUUACAAGAUUAUGUAGCUUCAGCUCAUCUCAGUCCUACCAAGCCUCUCUACUCUAUUGAUCAGUACAUUGGCUAUGAUCAUUUAUCCAUGUCUUAUCAGGAUUUUCUCUAAUCUUUUGGGACCGAUGUUGAACCAUCCUUCUUUGAGGAAGCUUGUCAGUAUCUUAAGUGGGUUGAGGCUAUGCAAGCUGAGAUCUUAGCCUUGGGUGCUCACCAAACCUAUAAGGUUGUUCCUUUGCCUCCUCACAAGAAGGAUAUUGGAUGCAAAUGGAUUUUUAAAAUUAAGUAUAAAGCAUCUUGUGAGGUUGAGAGGUUUAAAGCCAGACUUGUUGCAAAGGGGUUCAAUUAGAGAGAAGGCUUAGACUAUUAGGAAACUUUUUCUCCAGUUGUAAAAAUGGUGACUAUUAGAAGUGUGUUGGCCCUAGUUGAACAAUGGAUCUCUUCAAUGCUUUUCUUUAGGGUGACCUAUUUAAUGAGGUUCAUAUGACUUUUCCUCGUGGUUUUCAACUUCCACAGGGAUUUAAUAUGCACGGGGAGAAACUGUAUGUAGGCUCGCUAAAUCCCUAAAUGAAUUGAAGCAGGCUCCAAGACAGUGGAUUGUAAAGCUUACUGAAGCUCUUAUUAGACUUGAAUUUGUUCAAAGUCUCUUGGACUAUUCACUUUUCAUCGAAAGGACUGGAGCAUCACUAGUGUUAAUCCUUGUACAUGUGGAUGAUAUGAUGAUUAGUGGCAAUGACCUUACACUUAUUCAUAACACCAAAAAGAUCCAUCAAGAUUAAGGAUUUGGGAGAUCUUAGAUACUUUCUAGGGAUUGAGUUUGCCAGGUCCCAAGAAGGCAUUGUUAUGCACCAAAUAAAAUACACUUUGGAAAUUAUAUAUGAAGCUGGCCUUUGUGCUGCAGAAUCAGCUUCCACCCAUCUUGAUCCCUAUGUACAGUUGACAACCAGAGAAUAUGAUGAAAUAAAUGGAAAAGGCAAGGAUGAUAAACUACUUGAAGAUUCUACAAUAUAUAGAAGAUUAGUUGUUGUAUCUAAAUGUCACAAGACCAGACAUUGCAUUUGUCACACAGACCUUGAGUAAAUUUCUUUACCAUCCUAAACAGUCCCAUCUUAAUGUCUUGCUCAAAGUUAUGAAAUAUAUAAAAGGGAAAGCAAGGAUAGGUGUCUUAUUGUCCAACAAGAAAAAUAAAUAGAUAAAUGUUUAAUGUGAUUUAGACUGAGGAGCAUGUAUACGUACUAGAAGAUCAGUUUCUAGAUUUAUGGUGAAACUGGGAGAAUCACUAAUAUCAUGGAAGUCAAAGAAACAAGGAACAAUAUCUAGGAGCUCAGCUAAAGAAAAAUAUAAGAGCAUGGACAGUGCUGUAGCUGAAGUUGUAUAGAUAAUAAGACUUCAAUGAACUUGGUGUUGAUGUUCAACACCUGUUACCAUUCACAGUGAUACCAAGUCAGAAAUCCAAACUCUCGACGAUCUGCUACUAGGAAAAUGUGGUAAAGUUUGUGAGAGUAAAAAUGAUUGUGGUGGCUUAUUUUGCCAGUCUUGUGUGGACAUAAAGAAAGCUGAUGGUUCAACAUAAAAAUGAUGUAGCCUCUAAUUUAAGUGUUGAUGUUUUGUGCAUGUGUGUUUCUAAUUAUUAUUAUUAAGUGUUGUCUUUGUAGUAUGUCUUAUAUUCACUUCAUCAACACUAAGAGGGUGUUUGAAUUGAUUUAAAAGUUGGUCAAACCUAUUUUUAGGUGAGUUUUUUACUUCUGAAAGUGUUUGGCAAAUAUAAAAAGUAGGAAAAAUGCAUAAGUACCUCCCCCCAACCUAUGCCCGUAAUCCCAAAGACACACUUAUACUAUACUAAGGUCCUAUUACCCCCCCCCCCCCCCGAACUUAUUUUAUAACUAAUUUUCUACCCCUUUUCGGCCUACGUGACAUUAUCAAUCAGAUAGCUUGAAAAAAUUGUCAACAUGCGUUGGGCCCAGAAGAUAGUGCCACGUAGGCCAAAAAGGAGUAGAAAAUUAUUUAUAAAUAAGUUCGGAGGGGGGGGGGGUUAAUAGGACCUUAGUAUAGUAUAAGUGUGUCUCUGAGAUUUCAGGCAUAGGUUGGAGGGGUACUUAUGCAUUUUCCCUGAAAAGUAACUUAAAAUAAGUUUAAAAUAACUUAAAAUAAGUCAAAAACCAAAAGUAGGUCUCCCCCUACUUUUUAGUUUUUUGGCUUAAAAGUCAUUUCAGAUUGACUUUUUAUUUUUGACUUAAAAUCUACUUUUUUAAGUUAAGCCAAACGGGCUCUAAGUUUGGUGUAUAUGUGUGAAGAAAAAGAACAUGAAUAAUAAAGGAGAAAAUGACCAAAAUAGUCCUUAAUAUAUGGGUAAUGUUUUAUCUUUGUCCUUAAUGUAUAACAAAUGUGUUCAUUUUGGUUCUUAAUAUAUUUCACUCGAUUGAAAUGAUUCUUAAUAUAUAAAAAAAUGUGUUCAUUUUGUUUCUUCACCCUAAAUCUAAAAGAUUUUUCAAAAAAAAAAGUGUUGAAUUCAACUAUGGACCCUACGUGACUAACAAAAUUCACCAUUGUUGUCUUCUUUAUUAGCUCUAAAGAAAGAAAUCAAAAAAAAAAAAAAACUAACACCAUUUCUCACUUCUCCAAAAAAAUGUACUUGCACACUUUGAAUCCAAUCAAUUGUUUAUAACUUAAUAAUAUUACGCAAUUAGUGAAAGAAGCUCCAACUUCUCACUAAAAACAAUUCAAAUUUCUGACCAAGUGAUGAGUCCACAAUUUGGACUCAUUUAGGGCUAUAUUUUAAUAUAAUUAGUGUCCUCAAAUGCAUAUUUUGUCUCAAUAACUGAUGUAAACCCUUAAGUUUCAGGUAUUUGGAUUGAGAAACAAAACUUAGAUGUUAUCAAGCAAAAAGGAACAAAGCGGCUGAAAGAACGGAGAAAAGACUUCCUGAGGAUCGCCUAAACUAUUAGGCGAGUCACCGAAAGGUUCUAAAUCCCGCCGAAUGUUCCAGUGUGCUGAGCCCUGAAGAAGAAGGUCAAGU
This 5923-nucleotide long non-coding RNA is filed under the name Solanum tuberosum (potato). Its description in RNAcentral is "long non-coding RNA (STUB_LNC005756)". The record is from RNAcentral. Lineage: Eukaryota; Viridiplantae; Streptophyta; Magnoliopsida; Solanales; Solanaceae.